AACUGGCUUCCUUGAAUUCCCCGAGUUGUUCCUUGUGCAGCUCACCAGCCUCUGCAGCAGACUUCUGGUGACCAUUUAUUUUCUUCAUUUUUCCAGGCUUUGAGAUGCUCGAGUCUUUGGCUAGCAGUGAUCAUUCCUCAUUUCAGGGCAGGAAUACCCCUGUCGUGGGCAAGCCGCCUCCACUUCUUCCAACCCCUGGAAAGCCGUCCUUCUCGGGCCCUCAUCCCCCCCUUCCUGCCAAGCCCCCAUUGUUAGGGGACAGACCAGGAGGGGCUCUCCUUCCACCACCAGGAUUGGGCAACCCCAAAGGUCUGUUUGCCCCUCCCCUGCUUCCAGCAGCCCCCUCCAAGAGAUCUGCUCCUUUGGGAUGCCCCCAUCCCAAGCGUGCCAAGCGUCCACUACUUGGGGAGAAACCAGGCCUUCUAGCACCACCUCCAGUUCUUCAGUCAGUGCUGCACAAGCAGACGGUGCAGCCCGCAUCUCUGCUGAACUAAGGAAAGCUCCCGGAGCCAGGAGAACAAGGGGGCUGUUGCCCAGAGGGCGGCUUCACCCUCCUCCGAGGACCGAGGCCCGUCUGACUCGCGGCACUGGUGUCCGGGCAGCGGGCAUGGACGUGCUUCCCUUCUGCCCGAUACGUGGUCCCGUGGAAACGUGCUUCCUGGUUGGAGUCUCUGUGCCAAAUUAGAGACGUGUGGAAGGUCAUUGUUGUAGAAAUUGGAUCCUGAAGUUGUCCGAUUAUACACAUACUAAAAUAAAAUAAAAACUUGUAGCUUUUGCAUACUGGUUGCCGCUUUUUAAGGACUUGUUAUUUUGGAAUGAUUUUAGGUUUAUAGACAAUUCCCAGAGAUAGUACAGGGAGUUCCCUUUAUCCAGCUUCCCCUGAUGUUGACAUCUUAUAAAACCAUGGUACCUUUACUG
This is a non-coding RNA of Leptonychotes weddellii (Weddell seal), 918 nucleotides long. NCBI's taxonomy places the organism in Eukaryota, Metazoa, Chordata, Mammalia, Carnivora, Phocidae. The record is from RefSeq and is a predicted model, not a curated record.